Molecule: ribosomal RNA, 449 nt
Filed under: uncultured bacterium
Lineage: Bacteria
Description: partial 16S ribosomal RNA
Rfam family: Bacterial small subunit ribosomal RNA
Source: RNAcentral
AACGAACGCUGGCGGCAUGCCUAACACAUGCGAGUCGAACGGGAUCUUCGGGUCUAGUGGCGCACGGGUGCGUAACGCGUGGGAAUCUGCCCCUUGGUUCGGAAUAACAGUUGGAAACGACUGCUAAUACCGGAUGAUGACGAAAGUCCAAAGAUUUAUCGCCAGAGGAUGAGCCCGCGUAGGAUUAGCUAGUUGGUGUGGUAAAGGCGCACCAAGGCGACGAUCCUUUGCUGGUCUGAGAGGAUGAUCAGCCACACUGGGACUGAGACACGGCCCAGACUCCUACGGGAGGCAGCAGUGGGGAAUAUUGGACAAUGGGCGAAAGCCUGAUCCAGCAAUGCCGCGUGAGUGAUGAAGGCCUUAGGGCUGUAAAGCUCUUUUACCCGGGAUGAUAAUGACAGUACCGGGAGAAUAAGCUCCGGCUAACUCCGUGCCAGCCGCCGCAGUAA